This 70-nucleotide transfer RNA is filed under the name Variola louti (yellow-edged lyretail). Its description in RNAcentral is "tRNA-Met". It matches the Rfam family "tRNA". From Rfam's summary of the family: Transfer RNA (tRNA) molecules are approximately 80 nucleotides in length. Their secondary structure includes four short double-helical elements and three loops (D, anti-codon, and T loops). The record is from RNAcentral. Lineage: Eukaryota; Metazoa; Chordata; Actinopteri; Perciformes; Serranidae.
AGUAAGGUCAGCUAAUUAAAGCUCUUGGGCCCAUACCCCAAAUAUGUAGGUUAAAAUCCUACCUUUGCUA